UCUACAUCUAUCGCAUACGAAUCAGUUGCCACACUUUUUUUAAAAAGGCGCCUGCAACUCCAGUCUCUCCCGAUCUGUACCCCAUCGUGGCUUCGUCUCUCCCGAUCUGGAACCCUCUCGUGGCUUCAUCUCUCCCCACCCCCUCCGGCCAGCCAUGGAACCCCGAUCUGCCGCGGUGGCCGGCGCCGGCGUAGUCUGCCCCAGUGACUCGCAUGUCUCCUCUCUGCCUCUGCAGCACCCCGCUCACCCCCACCCCCCAAAAUCCGGGCCAUCUCCUAUAUUCCCCAUCUCCUCCGAUCCCGACCUCCGCAAGUACGGCAUCGACACAUCUCCUGCAUCUUCCUCUAUACCAGUCGUCGCACCACCCACCAUCACUAUCUCCUCCCUGUCUCCUCCGCCCCUCCCCCGUCUCCUUUCAGCAUUGUAAAAGGAGCACGAGGUCAAAGGGGGGCAAGAUCUGAGUGGCUGGAGGCUGAUGCCUGACGGGACACCAUGCACUAGGGACAAUCUCUGCUCGUUUAACACCAGGUGCUACCUCAAACUAACGCCUACUCCGAGCCCGCAUUCGCUAGCUACAGCCGUGGCCAACCAUUGCCCACAAUGGCUUAGGCUGAUGCCUGAUGGGACACCAUGCUUAGAUGAGGAAUGCACGCCGUGGAAGUAAUCUGUUUUACGGUUCCACCCUGAACGGCAGCGGGCUUCCGAGAUCCUCGCCUGUCGAGUUGGUAGAUGCAGCUUCUUGGAACUGUUGAAAAUUGGCCUCCGGUGAAGAAUAACAGUGCGCUGAAUAUCUCAACUAUGUAUCAGGCACCACACAUGUUUUGUCUGUCUAUUUCUAUGCCAUUAUUUUUCUUCUGGCUUUGGUUGCUUUGUUAGUGAAUGGGCCAGUGAGGGGUUUACUCUUAGAACUUCUAAAUUUUAGUUCAAAUCAUGACCUGAAGUUUGGACAUUUCACAAACUUGUUUUUAGUUUGCAUCCAAUGAUUCCGUAUAUUAAGUUUCUGAACCUAAUUAAGUGUUUGCAUCUUAAAAUACACCCACCUAAGUUUUUAAAUUGCAGCGAAAAAAUUAUAAAAUAUACAUGUUGCACAUUGAGUGUUGGAAAUUAAAGUGAAGGUAUUGACUUACAUUUUAAAUACUUGACAUACUUUCUGUGAACUUGCAUUGAGUUUAUAGAUUCUAAUUUUUGUUAUUAACUUGGAAAGUCUUAUUACUUCAGGUCUUGAAUCCCUACAUGGUGAUCCUAUCCUGGUAAACAAGUACUUAAGAACAAUUUUUGGCCAAUGUUAACUUUUUUUGGCUCAUGGUUCAACAUGUUUCCAAAUCAGAUAUGGAAGACAAGUACUCCAGCCGCUGAUGAAAGCGGCCCAGAAGCACACAUAAUGACGGACGUGGUUUUGAUCUAUAGAGCAUUUGAGGAUCAAAUGAGAUGGAGAUUCAGUUCUCUAAUUUCUGUUUUGGUUCAGUUUUUUCACCAUUUCUACUCAAGGUGGCGAAGGGUUUCCUUGUGAUCGGCGCGGCACCAAUCUUCUGGGUGUUAUGGAAGACCAAGAAUAAAUCCUUCUUUAAAUGUGUUCGUCCUGGAGAUCCAACCACUGUAUUUUUUUAUGUUUGUCAGUUCUUAACAUCUUGGGCAACCUUUGCAGAAAGGGGCUCUUUAAGGACUGUUGUGACAGCGAUCCCGUAAGCUGGCGAUGGUGGUGUAGGAAGUGUAUGGGCGUCGACAUAGCUGGAACCAAUAAAUUGUCGUCCUCCUUUUUGUGCUUUCCUGUGUUAGCCUAUUUGGGAUUCUAUGACCAAUUUCUUUUUUCUCUGUAUGAGAGUUGGCUGUAGUUCGUCAAUUACUGGUCGACGAUGCUGAUGCUCAUGUUACCAAGGAUAUGACGUAAGGAGUAGUUGUUUAUGCCUUUGUGUUCUGUUUGGGUGGCUUAUACCUGGCCCGUACGCUGGUGUGUGUGCAUGUGUAUACUGGAAUGAUUUCAGCAACGAUAUUGGGCAUGUAAGCUACUUUUCUUGGAAAAAAGUGCAACUACAUGGCAAACAUGACAGAUGUUAA
This is a non-coding RNA of Aegilops tauschii subsp. strangulata, 2055 nucleotides long. The record is from RefSeq and is a predicted model, not a curated record. Lineage: Eukaryota; Viridiplantae; Streptophyta; Magnoliopsida; Poales; Poaceae.